AGAGUGAACGCUGGCGGUAGGCCUAACACAUGCAAGUCGAACGGCAGCACGGUAAGAGCUUGCUCUUAUGGGUGGCGAGUGGCGGACGGGUGAGGAAUACAUCGGAAUCUACCUUUUGGUGGGGGAUAACGUAGGGAAACUUACGCUAAUACCGCAUACGCCCUUCGGGGGAAAGCCGGGGACCAGCAAUGGCCUGGUGCUGAUAGAUGAGCCGAUGUCGGAUUAGCUAGUUGGUGAGGUAAUGGCUCACCAAGGCGACGAUCCGUAACUGGUCUGAGAGGAUGAUCAGUCACACUGGAACUGAGACACGGUCCAGACUCCUACGGGAGCAGCAGUGGGGAAUAUUGGACAAUGGGCAAAGCCUGAUCCAGCCAUGCCGCGUGUGUGAAGAGGUCUUCGGGAUUA
RNAcentral lists this ribosomal RNA (405 nucleotides) under uncultured soil bacterium. RNAcentral describes it as "bacterial SSU rRNA". It matches the Rfam family "Bacterial small subunit ribosomal RNA", at positions 26 to 426 of the family's 1533-position model. The record is from RNAcentral.